CCUACGGGAGGCAGCAGUGAGGAAUAUUGGUCAAUGGGCGAGAGCCUGAACCAGCCAAGUCGCGUGAGGGAGUACUGCCCUAUGGGUUGUAAACCUCUUUUGUCGGGGAGCAAAAGCCGGACGUGUCCGGCUGUGAGAGUACCCGAAGAAAAAGCAUCGGCUAACUCCGUGCCAGCAGCCGCGGUAAUACGGAGGAUGCGAGCGUUAUCCGGAUUUAUUGGGUUUAAAGGGUGCGCAGGCGGGUUUUUAAGUCAGCGGUAAAAUCGUGGGGCUCAACCCCAUCCAGCCGGUGAAACUGGGGAUCUAGAGUGUGCGAGAGGUAUGCGGAAUGCGUGGUGUAGCGGUGAAAUGCAUAGAUAUCACGCAGAACCCCGAUUGCGAAGGCAGCAUACCGGUGCACAACUGACGCUCAGGCACGAAAGCGUGGGUAUCGAACAGGAUUAGAUACCCUGGUAGUC
RNAcentral lists this ribosomal RNA (458 nucleotides) under uncultured bacterium. RNAcentral's name for it is "partial 16S ribosomal RNA". It matches the Rfam family "Bacterial small subunit ribosomal RNA", at positions 338 to 795 of the family's 1533-position model. The record is from RNAcentral.